GAUGAACGCUGGCGGCGUGCCUAAUACAUGCAAGUCGAGCGAACGGACGAGAAGCUUGCUUCUCUGAUGUUAGCGGCGGACGGGUGAGUAACAAGUGGAUAACCUACCUAUAAGACUGGGAUAACUUCGGGAAACCGUAGCUAAUACCGGAUAAUAUUUUGAACCGCAUGGUUCAAAAGUGAAAGACGGUCUUGCCGUCACUUAUAGAUGGAUCCGCGCUGCAUUAGCUAGCUGGUAAGGUAACGGCUUACCAAGGCAACGAUGCAUAGCCGACCUGAGAGGGUGAUCGGCCACACUGGAACUGAGACACGGUCCAGACUCCUACGGGAGGCAGCAGUAGGGAAUCUUCCGCAAUGGGCGAAAGCCUGACGGAGCAACGCCGCGUGAGUGAUGAAGGUCUUCGGAUCGUAAAACUCUGUUAUUAGGGAAAAACAUAUGUGUAAGUACCUGUGCACAUCUUGACGGUACCUAAUCAGAAAGCCACGGCUAACUACGUG
Molecule: ribosomal RNA, 497 nt
Filed under: uncultured bacterium
Lineage: Bacteria
Description: partial 16S ribosomal RNA
Rfam family: Bacterial small subunit ribosomal RNA
Source: RNAcentral